GACGAACGCUGGCGGCGUGCCUAAUACAUGCAAGUUGAGCGAUGAAGAUUGGUGCUUGCCCCAAUUUGAAGAGCAGCGAACGGGUGAGUAACGCGUGGGGAAUCUGCCUUUGAGCGGGGGACAACAUUUGGAAACGAAUGCUAAUACCGCAUAAUAACUUUAAACAUAAGUUUUAAGUUUGAAAGAUGCAAUUGCAUCACUCAAAGAUGAUCCCGCGUUGUAUUAGCUAGUUGGUGAGGUAAAGGCUCACCAAGGCGAUGAUACAUAGCCGACCUGAGAGGGUGAUCGGCCACAGUGGGACUGAGACACGGCCCAAACUCCUACGGGAGGCAGCAGUAGGGAAUCUUCGGCAAUGGACGAAAGUCUGACCGAGCAACGCCGCGUGAGUGAAGAAGGUUUUCGGAUCGUAAAACUCUGUUGGUAGAGAAGAACGUUGGUGAGAGUGGAAAGCUCAUCAAGUGACGGUAACUACCCAGAAAGGGACGGCUAACUACGUG
This 497-nucleotide ribosomal RNA is filed under the name uncultured bacterium. RNAcentral describes it as "partial 16S ribosomal RNA". It matches the Rfam family "Bacterial small subunit ribosomal RNA", at positions 28 to 507 of the family's 1533-position model. The record is from RNAcentral.